This 443-nucleotide ribosomal RNA is filed under the name uncultured bacterium. Its description in RNAcentral is "partial 16S ribosomal RNA". It matches the Rfam family "Bacterial small subunit ribosomal RNA", at positions 338 to 795 of the family's 1533-position model. The record is from RNAcentral.
CCUACGGGAGGCAGCAGUGGGGAAUAUUGGACAAUGGGGGGAACCCUGAUCCAGCGACGCCGCGUGAGUGAAGAAGUAUUUCGGUAUGUAAAGCUCUAUCAGCAGGGAAGAAAGAAAUGACGGUACCUGACUAAGAAGCCCCGGCUAACUACGUGCCAGCAGCCGCGGUAAUACGUAGGGGGCAAGCGUUAUCCGGAUUUACUGGGUGUAAAGGGAGCGUAGACGGCGAUGCAAGUCUGAAGUGAAAGGCGGGGGCCCAACCCCCGGACUGCUUUGGAAACUGUAUGGCUGGAGUGCAGGGGAGGUAAGGGGAAUUCCGAGUGUAGCGGUGAAAUGCGUAGAUAUUAGGAGGAACAGCAGUGGCGAAGGCGGCUUACUGGACUGUAACUGACGUUGAGGCUCGAAAGCGUUGGGAGCAAACAGGAUUAGAUACCCUUGUAGUC